AUUGAACGCUGGCGGCAGGCCUAACACAUGCAAGUCGAACGAGUGGCGGACGGGUGAGUAAUGUCUGGGAAACUGCCCGAUGGAGGGGGAUAACUACUGGAAACGGUAGCUAAUACCGCAUACCAUCGGAUGUGCCCAGAUGGGAUUAGCUUGUAGGUGAGGUAACGGCUCACCUAGGCGACGAUCCCUAGCUGGUCUUAGAGGAUGACCAGGCACACUGGAGCUGAGACACGGUCCAGACUCCUACGGGAGGAUGCCGUGGGGAAUAUUUCACAAUGGGCGCAAGCCUGAUGCAGCCAUGCCGAGUGUAUGAAUAAGUCCUUCGUGUUGUAAAGUACUUUCAUCGGGGAGGCGUUCCCCGCAGAAGAAGCACCGGCUAACUCCGUGCCAGCAGCCGCGGGAAUAC
RNAcentral lists this ribosomal RNA (406 nucleotides) under uncultured bacterium. RNAcentral describes it as "partial 16S ribosomal RNA". It matches the Rfam family "Bacterial small subunit ribosomal RNA", at positions 30 to 526 of the family's 1533-position model. The record is from RNAcentral.